GUGAUGUAUGAAAGGAGAGAAGUUUAGCACUCCUCUUGACAAGGAAGGAAGAGGCCCUUGGCCCUUACAACACACAGAGGGUUAAGGCAUUGCCACCUACUUUGUGGCAUCUAAAUACAGUCAAUU
Trichechus manatus latirostris (Florida manatee) is the source of this 126-nucleotide small nuclear RNA. The record is from RefSeq and is a predicted model, not a curated record. Lineage: Eukaryota; Metazoa; Chordata; Mammalia; Sirenia; Trichechidae.